CACAUACUCCCUCCGUUCCGUAUUACUUGUCGUAGGUAUGGAUGUAUCUAGAUGUAUUUUAGUUCUAGAUACAUCCAUUUCUGCGACGAGUAAUUUGGAACGGAGGGAGUACAUU
Molecule: non-coding RNA, 115 nt
Organism: Triticum aestivum (bread wheat)
Lineage: Eukaryota; Viridiplantae; Streptophyta; Magnoliopsida; Poales; Poaceae
Source: Rfam